Molecule: ribosomal RNA, 497 nt
Filed under: uncultured bacterium
Lineage: Bacteria
Description: partial 16S ribosomal RNA
Rfam family: Bacterial small subunit ribosomal RNA
Source: RNAcentral
GAUGAACGCUGGCGGCGUGCCUAAUACAUGCAAGUCGAGCGAACAGACGAGGAGCUUGCUCCUCUAACGUUAGCGGCGGACGGGUGAGUAACACGUGGAUAACCUACCUAUAAGACUGGGAUAACUUCGGGAAACCGGAGCUAAUACCGGAUAAUAUAUUGAACCGCAUGGUUCAAUAGUGAAAGACGGUUUUGCUGUCACUUAUAGAUGGAUCCGCGCCGCAUUAGCUAGUUGGUAAGGUAACGGCUUACCAAGGCAACGAUGCGUAGCCGACCUGAGAGGGUGAUAGGCCACACUGGAACUGAGACACGGUCCAGACUCCUACGGGAGGCAGCAGUAGGGAAUCUUCCGCAAUGGGCGAAAGCCUGACGGAGCAACGCCGCGUGAGUGAUGAAGGUCUUCGGAUCGUAAAACUCUGUUAUUAGGGAAGAACAAAUGUGUAAGUAACUAUGCACGUCUUGACGGUACCUAAUCAGAAAGCCACGGCUAACUACGUG